CCUACGGGUGGCAGCAGUGGGGAAUAUUGCACAAUGGGGGAAACCCUGAUGCAGCGACGCCGCGUGAAGGAAGAAGUAUUUCGGUAUGUAAACUUCUAUCAGUAGGGAAGAAAAUGACUGUACCUGACUGAGAAGCCCCGGCUAACUACGUGCCAGCAGCGGCGGUAAUACGUAGGCGGCAAGCGUUAUCCUGAUUUACUGGGUGUAAAGGGAGCGUAUGCGGUUCAGCAAGUCAGUAGUGAAAGCCUGGGGCUCAACUCCGGGACUGCAUUUGAAACUGUCGAACUAGAGUGCAGUAGAGGUAAGUGGAAUGCGUGGUGUAGCGGUGAAAUGCGUAGAUAUUAGGAGGAACACCAGUGGCGAAGGCAGCUUACUGGACUGCAAAUGACGCUGAGGCUCGAAAGCGUGGGGAGCAAACAGGAUUAGAUACCCGUGUAGUC
This 440-nucleotide ribosomal RNA is filed under the name uncultured bacterium. RNAcentral describes it as "partial 16S ribosomal RNA". It matches the Rfam family "Bacterial small subunit ribosomal RNA", at positions 338 to 795 of the family's 1533-position model. The record is from RNAcentral.